GACGACGCAACGCCGCGUGGAGGAUGAAGGGCUUCGGCUCGUAAACUCCUUUCGACCGAGAUGAAUACCCGCAGGGCUAACAUCCUUGCGGACUGACAGUAUCGAGGGAAGAAGCCCCGGCUAACUCCGUGCCAGCAGCCGCGGUAAUACGGGGGGGGCAAGCGUUGUUCGGAAUUACUGGGCGUAAAGGGUUCGUAGGUGGUCAACUAAGUCAUACGUGAAAUCCCUCAGCUUAACUGGGGAACUGCGUCUGAUACUGGUUGACUUGAGUGCAGGAGAGGAACGCGGAAUUCCAGGUGUAGCGGUGAAAUGCGUAGAUAUCUGGAGGAACACCGGUGGCGAAGGCGGCGUUCUGGACUGUAACUGACACUGAGGAACGAAAGCCAGGGGAGCAAACGGGAUUAGAUACCCCGGUAGUCCUGGCCCUAAACGAUGAAUGCUUGGUGUGGCGGGUAUCGAUCCCUGCCGUGCCGAAGUUAACGCGAUAAGCAUUCCGCCUGGGGAGUACGGCCGCAAGGCUG
This 521-nucleotide ribosomal RNA is filed under the name uncultured Acidobacteriota bacterium. Its description in RNAcentral is "bacterial SSU rRNA". It matches the Rfam family "Bacterial small subunit ribosomal RNA", at positions 385 to 896 of the family's 1533-position model. Lineage: Bacteria; Pseudomonadati; Acidobacteriota. The record is from RNAcentral.